Molecule: ribosomal RNA, 385 nt
Filed under: uncultured bacterium
Lineage: Bacteria
Description: bacterial SSU rRNA
Rfam family: Bacterial small subunit ribosomal RNA
Source: RNAcentral
AUUGAACGCUGGCGGCAUGCCUAACACAUGCAAGUCGAACGGCAGCGCGGGGGCAACCCUGGCGGCGAGUGGCGGACGGGUGAGGAAUACAUGGGAAUCUACCCUGUCGUGGGGGCAUAACGUAGGGAAACUUACGCUAAUACCGCAUACGACCGAGAGGUGAAAGCGGCGGACCGCAAGGCGUCGCGCGGCUGGAUGAGCCCAUGUCGGAUUAGCUAGUUGGCGGGGUAAAGGCCCACCAAGGCGACGAUCCGUAGCUGGUCUGAGAGGAUGAUCAGCCGCACUGGAACUGAGACACGGUCCAGACUCCUACGGGAGGCAGCAGUGGGGGAACUAUUGGGACAAUGGGCCGCAAGCCUGAUCCCAGCAAAUGCCCGCGUGGGUG